RNAcentral lists this ribosomal RNA (253 nucleotides) under uncultured bacterium. RNAcentral describes it as "partial 16S ribosomal RNA". It matches the Rfam family "Bacterial small subunit ribosomal RNA", at positions 524 to 776 of the family's 1533-position model. The record is from RNAcentral.
UACGGGGGGGGCAAGCGUUGUUCGGAAUUACUGGGCGUAAAGGGCCCGUAGGCGGCCAACUAAGUCGGAUGUGAAAUCCCCAGGCUUAACCUGGGAACUGCAUCCGAUACUGGAUGGCUUGAAUUCGGGAGAGGGAUGCAGAAUUCCAGGUGUAGCGGUGAAAUGCGUAGAUAUCUGGAGGAAUACCGGUGGCGAAGGCGGCAUCCUGGACCGACAUUGACGCUGAACGGCGAAAGCUAGGGGAGCAAACGGG